GGAGGCAGGCAGGGCACCUAGGAGAGGGUGGAAUUCAGAAUUGUAACAGAACAAUAGUACAUUAUUACACACAGCACAGGCUGACAGGGCCACGCUCUGGGAGCCCCGCCUAAGCAUCGAGCUGCUGCUGAGCCUAGCCCAGGGGCUUACACCACUGGACAUACUCUGGAUGGAAUUGGAGAGGAACACAGACCCUCAGACAGAGGAAUGAAGAUCACAGUCUGAUCCCCCCGAGCCCCCAGGUCUCAUUAUGUAGCCUCGGCUGGCUUGGAACUCAUAGAGAUCCACUUACCUCUGCCUCCAAAGAGCUAUGAGUAAAGGCAUAUGCAGCCAUGCCCAGCUGGUGCCCAUUAUUAAAGGGGUUCAUGGAGGCCAGAAGAUGGUAUCGAAUCCCCUGGGACUGCAGUUAAAGACUGUUGUGCAGUCAAAGCCAUGCGGGUGAUGGGAAUUUGGAUCCUCUAGAAGUAUAGCCCAGACAAGCCUGCUGCACCAAAGGUUGAUGUAUGGUGUCUUCUUCAGUAAAUUCCCACUUUAUCUUGGUCUCUCACGGAA
Molecule: long non-coding RNA, 552 nt
Organism: Mastomys coucha (southern multimammate mouse)
Lineage: Eukaryota; Metazoa; Chordata; Mammalia; Rodentia; Muridae
Exons: 2
Source: RefSeq, a predicted model, not a curated record